This 553-nucleotide ribosomal RNA is filed under the name Laliostoma labrosum. RNAcentral's name for it is "partial 16S ribosomal RNA". It matches the Rfam family "Bacterial large subunit ribosomal RNA", at positions 1816 to 2597 of the family's 2925-position model. Lineage: Eukaryota; Metazoa; Chordata; Amphibia; Anura; Mantellidae. The record is from RNAcentral.
CGCCUCUUGCUAAAUCAUAAGAGGUCCAGCCUGCCCAGUGAUUUUAUUCAACGGCCGCGGUACCCUAACCGUGCGAAGGUAGCAUAAUCACUUGUUCUUUAAAUGGGGACUUGUAUCAACGGCAUCACGAGGGUUAUACUGUCUCCUUUCUCCAAUCAGUGAAACUGAUCUCCCCGUGAAGAAGCGGGGAUACUUAUAUAAGACGAGAAGACCCCAUGGAGCUUUAAACCCAAUUGCACCUCGCCCGUAUUAUACCCUCUUAACUAGCGAGUCCUGUCUCUUGGUUUUAGGUUGGGGUGACCACGGAGCACAAAAACACCUCCGAGAUGAAUGGGGCUAACCCCCUUAUCUAAGAGCUACCUCUCUAAGAAUUAGUAUUCUAACAUAAAAUGAUCCGAUUUUCGAUCAACGAACCAAGUUACCCUGGGGAUAACAGCGCAAUCCACUUCAAGAGCCCCUAUCGACAAGUGGGUUUACGACCUCGAUGUUGGAUCAGGGUAUCCCAGCGGUGCAGCAGCUGCUAAAGGUUCGUUUGUUCAACGAUUAAAACCCU